Molecule: ribosomal RNA, 253 nt
Filed under: uncultured bacterium
Lineage: Bacteria
Description: partial 16S ribosomal RNA
Rfam family: Bacterial small subunit ribosomal RNA
Source: RNAcentral
GACAGAGGGUGCGAACGUUGCUCGGAAUUACUGGGCGUAAAGCGCGUGUAGGCGGGCACUCAAGUCAGGUGUGAAAGCCCCAGGCUCAACCUGGGAAUUGCACUUGAAACUGGGUGCCUUGAGUACUGGAGAGGGAAGCGGAAUUCCUGGUGUAGAGGUGAAAUUCGUAGAUAUCAGGAGGAACACCGGUGGCGAAGGCGGCUUCCUGGACAGUCACUGACGCUGAGACGCGAAAGCGUGGGGAGCAAACAGG